RNAcentral lists this transfer RNA (82 nucleotides) under Echinostoma caproni. It matches the Rfam family "tRNA". Rfam says of the family: Transfer RNA (tRNA) molecules are approximately 80 nucleotides in length. Their secondary structure includes four short double-helical elements and three loops (D, anti-codon, and T loops). Lineage: Eukaryota; Metazoa; Platyhelminthes; Trematoda; Plagiorchiida; Echinostomatidae. The record is from Rfam by way of RNAcentral.
GGCCUCGUAGCUCAGCUGGUAGAACAUGCGCGUACAAAGCGUAGGCGGUGUCCAUGCGUGGGUUCGAAUCCCACCCAGGCUA